Molecule: non-coding RNA, 231 nt
Organism: Pelobates cultripes (western spadefoot toad)
Lineage: Eukaryota; Metazoa; Chordata; Amphibia; Anura; Pelobatidae
Source: the annotation of a GenBank genome assembly
GCACACUGCUUGAAGAGAUAGCCUAUUAGUAGGCCCUAAAGGACCUAAAGCCCACCCCAAGUGACGUCUAUGUUCACAAUAUGCUCUACGCAGAUAACCAUCAAGAUCAAAAAAUAAAUUGUCUGCAAAAAUCAUGAAUGCAGGUACUUAAAUCAUUGUGUGGCUUCAUCAUGAUGGUUUAAAUACCUCUGCAUUUAUUGUAGGUGAUUCAUAGUAUGUGCACCAUUUACA